RNAcentral lists this ribosomal RNA (497 nucleotides) under uncultured bacterium. RNAcentral describes it as "partial 16S ribosomal RNA". It matches the Rfam family "Bacterial small subunit ribosomal RNA", at positions 28 to 507 of the family's 1533-position model. The record is from RNAcentral.
GAUGAACGCUGGCGGCGUGCCUAAUACAUGCAAGUCGAGCGAACGGACGAGAAGCUUGCUUCUCUGCUGUUAGCGGCGGACGGGUGAGUAACACGUGGAUAACCUACCUAUAAGACUGGGAUAACUUCGGGAAACCGGUGCUAAUACCGGAUAAUAUUUUGAACCGCAUGGUUCAAAAGUGAAAGACGGUCUUGCUGUCACUUAUAGAUGGAUCCGCGCUGCAUUAGCUAGUUGGUAAGGUAACGGCUUACCAAGGCAACGAUGCAUAGCCGACCUGAGAGGGUGAUCGGCCACACUGGAACUGAGACACGGUCCAGACUCCUACGGGAGGCAGCAGUAGGGAAUCUUCCGCAAUGGGCGAAAGCCUGACGGAGCAACGCCGCGUGAGUGAUGAAGGUCUUCGGAUCGUAAAACUCUGUUAUUAGGGAAGAACAUAUGUGUAAGUAACUGUGCACAUCUUGACGGUACCUAAUCAGAAAGCCACGGCUAACUACGUG